UACAGAGGGUGCAAGCAUUAAUCGGAUUUAUUGGGCGUAAAGAGCGCGUAGGCGGGUUUUUAAGUCAGAUGUGAAAUCCCGGGGCUCAACCCCGGAACAGCAUUUGAAACUGAGAAUCUUGAGGGUAGUCGGAGAAAAUGGAAUCCCACGUGUAGCGGUGAAAUGCGUAGAUAUGUGGAAGAACACCGGUGGCGAAGGCGAUUUUCUAGAUUAUUCCUGACGCUGAGGCGCGAAAGCAAGGGGAUCAAACAGG
RNAcentral lists this ribosomal RNA (253 nucleotides) under uncultured bacterium. RNAcentral's name for it is "partial 16S ribosomal RNA". It matches the Rfam family "Bacterial small subunit ribosomal RNA", at positions 524 to 776 of the family's 1533-position model. The record is from RNAcentral.